Cinara cedri is the source of this 286-nucleotide non-coding RNA. The record is from the annotation of a GenBank genome assembly. Lineage: Eukaryota; Metazoa; Arthropoda; Insecta; Hemiptera; Aphididae.
UACCUAUGAUAUGGAUUAAGUUCAUUCGGAUAUUAUAUCAUACACCUAGAACAUUUUCUGUCCGAAAUUCUGCCACGGAGAAAUACCGAAUAAAUUAGAUAUUUACUGGAAAUUUCGUUUUACUGUACAACUUGUAUAUUAUUAUCGAUACCUACUAUAAAUAUAUUUACUACUUAUUGCAAGACAUUUUAAUUAACAAUACGGGUGAGACAGUUUUCUUCCACUGUCCACCUCAUCAAAAAUGUACUUUUCCUUUCGAGACAUUUCUUAAUUCAUUCUCAAAUUA